AUUGAACGCUGGCGGCAUGCCUUACACAUGCAAGUCGAACGGUAACGGGCCUUCGGGUGCCGACGAGUGGCGAACGGGUGAGUAAUGUAUCGGAACGUACCUUUCAGUGGGGGAUAACGUAGCGAAAGUUACGCUAAUACCGCAUAUUCUGUGAGCAGGAAAGCAGGGGAUCGCAAGACCUUGCGCUGAUUGAGCGGCCGAUAUCAGAUUAGCUAGUUGGUGAGGUAAAGGCUCACCAAGGCGACGAUCUGUAGCGGGUCUGAGAGGAUGAUCCGCCACACUGGAACUGAGACACGGUCCAGACUCCUACGGGAGGCAGCAGUGGGGAAUUUUGGACAAUGGGGGCAACCCUGAUCCAGCCAUGCCGCGUGAGUGAUGACGGCCUUCGGUUGUAAAGCUCUGUCUUCAGGGACGAUAAUGACGGUACCUGAGGAGGAAGCACGGCUAACUACGUCGCCAGCAGCCGCGGUAGGACGUAGCGU
This 482-nucleotide ribosomal RNA is filed under the name uncultured bacterium. RNAcentral describes it as "bacterial SSU rRNA". It matches the Rfam family "Bacterial small subunit ribosomal RNA", at positions 30 to 533 of the family's 1533-position model. The record is from RNAcentral.